Molecule: ribosomal RNA, 477 nt
Filed under: Triticum aestivum (bread wheat)
Lineage: Eukaryota; Viridiplantae; Streptophyta; Magnoliopsida; Poales; Poaceae
Description: partial small subunit ribosomal RNA
Source: RNAcentral
AUGAGAUAUCGGAGUCCCUCCGAGUCCGUACUCUCUCGCGCCUUGAGAGGACGAAUUUCUGUCGCCGAGGUAGUGGAGGAUGCGCUUGCGCGGGAGGGGAGGGGGCAUGGGGUAGCACCUCCAACGCGGCUAGGCAGUGGCGACUCCUCCUUCAUGCGACGUGGCAAUGGCAACUCCCGCUCCUACUUCACGCGGCGUUUGAUUUGGAGGCCACGGUUGCGCAAGGGAGAGCAGGGAGGAAAGGAGGCUCCGCCUUCACCCGUCGGCGUGGAGGCAAAUGCGGCUCCGCCUGAACGCGGCGGAAAAGCGGCUCUGGUGGCGGCACCGGACCAUGGUCGUGGAGGAGCAAGCGUCAGAGCAUCAGCUUCAUCUGUGCUUUGUACUCAUUCGUCGCCGUCGUGGCCUCCGAGAGGAGGGGCGGCUGCUGCGGUGGACGUCGUUGCUACGGCUUGUCCUCCUCGUCGUCGGAGGAUAUGA